Medicago truncatula (barrel medic) is the source of this 150-nucleotide small nuclear RNA. It matches the Rfam family "U4 spliceosomal RNA". Rfam says of the family: U4 small nuclear RNA (U4 snRNA) is a component of the major U2-dependent spliceosome. The record is from Rfam. Lineage: Eukaryota; Viridiplantae; Streptophyta; Magnoliopsida; Fabales; Fabaceae.
AUCUUUGCGCUUGGGGCAAUGACGCAGCUAAUGAGGUUCUAACCGAGGCGCGUCUAUUGCUGGUUGAAAACUAUUUCCAAACCCCCUCUUAGGCUUAGGGAAACUUAAGCCUUUGAGAAUUUCUGGAAGGACUCCCUUAGGGGUAAAGUU